Molecule: ribosomal RNA, 486 nt
Filed under: Vibrio parahaemolyticus
Lineage: Bacteria; Pseudomonadati; Pseudomonadota; Gammaproteobacteria; Vibrionales; Vibrionaceae
Description: bacterial SSU rRNA
Rfam family: Bacterial small subunit ribosomal RNA
Source: RNAcentral
AAAUUGAAGAGUUUGAUCAUGGCUCAGAUUGAACGCUGGCGGCAGGCCUAACACAUGCAAGUCGAGCGGAAACGAGUUAUCUGAACCUUCGGGGAACGAUAACGGCGUCGAGCGGCGGACGGGUGAGUAAUGCCUAGGAAAUUGCCCUGAUGUGGGGGAUAACCAUUGGAAACGAUGGCUAAUACCGCAUGAUGCCUACGGGCCAAAGAGGGGGACCUUCGGGCCUCUCGCGUCAGGAUAUGCCUAGGUGGGAUUAGCUAGUUGGUGAGGUAAGGGCUCACCAAGGCGACGAUCCCUAGCUGGUCUGAGAGGAUGAUCAGCCACACUGGAACUGAGACACGGUCCAGACUCCUACGGGAGGCAGCAGUGGGGAAUAUUGCACAAUGGGCGCAAGCCUGAUGCAGCCAUGCCGCGUGUGUGAAGAAGGCCUUCGGGUUGUAAAGCACUUUCAGUCGUGAGGAAGGCGGUGUAGUUAAUAGCUGCAUC